UUGUCACACGUCCAUUGUGACACACCUCUCUUUCUUGGAAGUCUACUUAAUGAGUUUUUAACCAAAUUCUUAUUAGAUAGAUUAUGUAGUGUUAAAUUAUUUUGUAAUAUAUUCAAUUUGUGUGAUUUAUGUGAUGGAUGAAUUUUAUGAUGUUUGUAAUACAAUGGUUCAAUUGGUGUUUGUUUUUCUCUGUAUCCUGCAUAGUUAUGUAAUAGUUGAGGAGGACAGGAAGAACUGCUUGAUGUUAGUUAAUAAAUCGUUUUAUGCAGGCACGUAAAUGAUGAUACGGACGAUACUCCUGGAACUCCAAUCAAUCACCAUGAUCUUUUAUCUCCUUCAACUGAUCCAACAUCUUUAAUGUAUGAGAAUGUUUUAUCUUCUGGGAAAGCAUCAAAAUCAAAACUAAUAACACCCUUUUCAGAGCCAACAGAUAGGUUUUCAGUGAAAUUUAGCAUCAAACACUCUCCCUAGUGUAGAGAAUGGGAAACAAGAACCUGAUCAUGAGUAUAUUGAGAAUGGUGAAGAUGAUGUUGUCAGAAGAGUUCCACAACGUGAAAGGUGUUCAUUGGUAUCAGGAGUCAAACCGGCUUGUAAAUUCAUGUAUGAUAAAACGGAGGAUAGGUCACUUGUUGAAUUUUUUGGCAAUCUAUCACGAGAAUGGGCACUAGAGUGCAUGAAAUACUUAUUGCUGGUAUAUCUCAGAGGCAACCUACAUAUUAUUGUGCCGGUUGUCAAAGAAUGUUGUGAACAGUUGGGCAUGGAUGCUUGCUUAAGGAUUUUUGAGCAAUUCAGGUCAUAUGAAGGGC
Non-coding RNA from Vigna umbellata (rice bean), 806 nucleotides. NCBI's taxonomy places the organism in Eukaryota, Viridiplantae, Streptophyta, Magnoliopsida, Fabales, Fabaceae. The record is from RefSeq and is a predicted model, not a curated record.